This is a long non-coding RNA of Sander lucioperca (pikeperch), 429 nucleotides long. RefSeq lists it as uncharacterized. The record is from RefSeq and is a predicted model, not a curated record. The transcript is spliced from 3 exons. NCBI's taxonomy places the organism in Eukaryota, Metazoa, Chordata, Actinopteri, Perciformes, Percidae.
UUUGAGCUACAGGAUUUUGAAUAGAACAGAAAGCUGCAGCCCAAAUAUAUUUCAUGUUUUUAUUCUCUUCAGGCUGGUGGAGGGUCAUCAUGGUGUCUGUGGGUUUAGCAGCACUCGUAAUAACUGUUGUGGUGGUCAACAUAUGGAUGAGAACUAAAGGAAACAGAACCCAGAUGGAUGGCAAUGCUGAGCAUCAUGAUGAAGAUGAAGGUACAGUGACCUAUGAAAACAUUGGAGAACCUUCUGUUUCUAUCAGACUCCACUGAUCAACAACUUCAACAUCAACUCACCAGAAAAAGAGAAAAACUAACAUCAUUUUGAGUCAUAUCUAAAAACCGAAGUGUAACUUGUAAUUCAGUUUAUCAAUUACGUCUUGAUGUUAGGAUUUGAGUCAUUGCUUUUAAAGGUAAACUUUGCUCAAGUUUUUAA